GUGGUUGGGAUCGAACAAACAGGGGGAAAGCAAGGUGAAACCCUUGUUUUGCAUAUUCAAUCAAUUGAAGUGAAAAUUCAAGGAUAAUCUAGUGCAUGAACUUCAAUUUACACUCAUCUAAACUCGAAUAUUGAAGUGGCGUGAAAGAAGAAGGUUCAAACACUAGGAAAUCGGAAGGCUCACAAGAUCGAGGUAAAUCCUCAACAUAAGCGAUUGGACGAUUUGGAACGAGCACAUAUGAACUAUGCCCACCUCACGCUUCCGACAAGGCUAACUUAAUGUGGCGUGAAAGAAGAAGGUUCAAACACUAGGAAAUCGGAAGGCUCACAAGAUCGAGGUAAAUCCUAUUGGACGAUUUGGAACGAGCACACAUGAUCUAUGCCCACCUCACGCUUCCGACAAUGCUCACUUAAUGUGGUCUUAAUUUUUGGUUUUAUGUACUUUCAACUUAUGUAGUCUUUUGAUGUCCUUGUAGUAUGUAUGGUCAAUGACUUUGUCGUAGUAGUCUUGUUUUUGAACAAUGUAGAUAAUGUCCGUUUUCGGUUUUGAAAAGAUCUUUUACGUUGUAGU
RNAcentral lists this long non-coding RNA (570 nucleotides) under Helianthus annuus (common sunflower). Its description in RNAcentral is "hypothetical non coding rna". Lineage: Eukaryota; Viridiplantae; Streptophyta; Magnoliopsida; Asterales; Asteraceae. The record is from RNAcentral.